Molecule: ribosomal RNA, 508 nt
Filed under: uncultured bacterium
Lineage: Bacteria
Description: partial 16S ribosomal RNA
Rfam family: Bacterial small subunit ribosomal RNA
Source: RNAcentral
GACGAACGCUGGCGGCGUGCCUAAUACAUGCAAGUCGAACGCUUCUUUCCUCCCGAGUGCUUGCACUCAAUUGGAAAGAGGAGUUGCGGACGGGUGAGUAACACGUGGGUAACCUACCCAUCAGAGGGGGAUAACACUUGGAAACAGGUGCUAAUACCGCAUAACAGUUUAUGCCGCAUGGCAUAAGAGUGAAAGGCGCUUUCGGGUGUCGCUGAUGGAUGGACCCGCGGUGCAUUAGCUAGUUGGUGAGGUAACGGCUCACCAAGGCCACGAUGCAUAGCCGACCUGAGAGGGUGAUCGGCCACACUGGAACUGAGACACGGCCCAGACUCCUACGGGAGGCAGCAGUAGGGAAUCUUCGGCAAUGGACGAAAGUCUGACCGAGCAACGCCGCGUGAGUGAAGAAGGUUUUCGGAUCGUAAAACUCUGUUGUUAGAGAAGAACAAGGACGUUAGUAACUGAACGUCCCCUGACGGUAUCUAACCAGAAAGCCACGGCUAACUACGUG